Molecule: ribosomal RNA, 448 nt
Filed under: uncultured soil bacterium
Lineage: Bacteria
Description: bacterial SSU rRNA
Rfam family: Bacterial small subunit ribosomal RNA
Source: RNAcentral
AGAACGAACGCUGGCGGCAGGCCUAACACAUGCAAGUCGAACGCUCGUAGCAAUACGAGAGUGGCAGACGGGUGAGUAACGCGUGGGAACCUUCCCAGUGGUACGGAAUAGCUCAGGGAAACUUGAGGUAAUACCGUAUACGCCCCUCGGGGGAAAGAUUUAUCGCCAUUGGAUGGGCCCGCGUAGGAUUAGCUAGUUGGUGAGGUAACGGCUCACCAAGGCGACGAUCCUUAGCUGGUCUGAGAGGAUGAUCAGCCACACUGGGACUGAGACACGGCCCAGACUCCUACGGGAGGCAGCAGUGGGGAAUAUUGGACAAUGGGCGCAAGCCUGAUCCAGCCAUGCCGCGUGAGUGACGAAGGCCUUAGGGUGUAAAGCUCGUUUUGGCGGGGAAGAUAAUGACGGUACCCGCAGAAUAAGCUCCGGCUAACUUCGUGCCAGCAGCCGC